UUGGAGGGCAAGUCUGGUGCCAGCAGCCGCGGUAAUUCCAGCUCCAAUAGCGUAUAUUAAAGUUGUUGCAGUUAAAAAGCUCGUAGUUGAAUUUCGGGAUCAAUGUUUCGGUCAUGCCGUUGGUAUGUACUGAUAUUAUUGAUUUCUCACCUUCUAAGGAACCGUAAUGCCAUUAAUUUGGUGUCACGGGGAAUUAGGACUGUUACCUUGAAAAAAUUAGAGUGUUUAAAGCAGGCUCACGCUUGAAUACAUUAGCAUGGAAUAAUGAAAUAGGACAUCCGAUUCUAUUUUGUUGGUUUCUAGGAUCGAUGUAAUGAUUAAUAGGGAUAGUUGGGGGCAUUAGUAUUCAAUUGUCAGAGGUGAAAUUCUUGGAUUUAUUGAAGACUAACUACUGCGAAAGCAUUUGCCAAGGAUGUUUUCAUUAAUCAAGAACGAAAGUUAGGGGAUCGAAGACGAUCAGAUACCGUCGUAGUCUUAACCAUAAACUAUGCCGACUAGGGAUCGGAUGAUGUUAAUUUUUUAAUGACUCAUUCGGCGCCUUACGGGAAACCAAAGUGUUUGGGUUC
This 566-nucleotide ribosomal RNA is filed under the name uncultured Glomeromycotina. RNAcentral's name for it is "SSU rRNA". It matches the Rfam family "Eukaryotic small subunit ribosomal RNA", at positions 548 to 1114 of the family's 1831-position model. Lineage: Eukaryota; Fungi; Glomeromycota. The record is from RNAcentral.